UGUUUCAAUUAUCCUGUAAGGUCUUUCUUAGUUUGGAGAUAAUUUUUCUUGAUCGAGAGGUCUUAAGACUUCUGCUUUUCUUAGAACCAAAUCUCCAGGAUGGAAGACCUUCGAUUUAACCUUUGCAUUAUAAUACCGAGCCACCCUUUGCCAAUAGGCUGCCAUCCAAACUUGAGCUUGCAGUCGGACUUCUGAAAGUAGAUCUAAGUCGGCUCUCCGAUAUUCUGAAUUGCUCGGCUCACUGUAUUGUUCCACCCUUGCUAAUGGUAAUCCAAUCUCAAGUGGGAUCAUCGUUUCUGUUUCAUAAGUUAGAUUAAAUGGCAAUUCUCCCGUUGGUAUAUGAGGAGUUAUUCAGUAUGCCCAUAAGAUCAGAUAUAGCUCUUCCAUCCAGAGGUCUUUGGCUUCAUUCAGUCUGGUCUUGAGUCCAUGUAAAAUCGUUUAAUUU
RNAcentral lists this long non-coding RNA (445 nucleotides) under Elaeis guineensis (African oil palm). Its description in RNAcentral is "long non-coding RNA (EGUI_LNC047558)". Lineage: Eukaryota; Viridiplantae; Streptophyta; Magnoliopsida; Arecales; Arecaceae. The record is from RNAcentral.